CUUCCUACGGGACGCAGCAGUGAUGAAUCUUGGUCAAUUGUCUAGAGCCUGAACCAGCCAAGUCGCGUGAGGGAGUACUGCCCUAUGGGUUGUAAACCUCUUUUGUCGAGGAGCAAAAGCCGGACGUGUCCGUCUGUGAGAGUACCCGAAGAAAAAGCAUCGGCUAACUCCGUGCCAGCAGCCGCGGUAAUACGGAGGAUGCGAGCGUUAUCCGGAUUUAUUGGGUUUAAAGGGUGCGCAGGCGGAUUUUUAAGUCAGCGGUCAAAUCGUGGGGCUCAACCCCAUCAAGCCGUUGAAACU
RNAcentral lists this ribosomal RNA (300 nucleotides) under uncultured bacterium. Its description in RNAcentral is "bacterial SSU rRNA". It matches the Rfam family "Bacterial small subunit ribosomal RNA", at positions 335 to 634 of the family's 1533-position model. The record is from RNAcentral.